This 447-nucleotide ribosomal RNA is filed under the name uncultured bacterium. Its description in RNAcentral is "partial 16S ribosomal RNA". It matches the Rfam family "Bacterial small subunit ribosomal RNA", at positions 29 to 523 of the family's 1533-position model. The record is from RNAcentral.
AACGAACGCUGGCGGCAGGCCUAAUACAUGCAAGUCGAACGAACCUUCGGGUUAGUGGCGCACGGGUGCGUAACGCGUGGGAAUGUACACCUUGGUAGGGAAUAACUGCUGGAAACGGUAGCUAAUGCCUUAUAAUGACUCCGGUCCAAAGAUUUAUCGCCAAGGAAACAGCCCGCGUUAGAUUAGCUAGUUGGUGAGGUAAUGGCUCACCAAGGCGACGAUCUAUAGGGGGUCUGAGAGGAUGAUCCCCCACACUGGAACUGAGACACGGUCCAGACUCCUACGGGAGGCAGCAGUAAGGAAUAUUGGACAAUGGGGGCAACCCUGAUCCAGCCAUGCCGCGUGUGUGAAGAAGGCCUUAGGGUUGUAAAGCACUUUCAAACGUGAAGAUAAUGACGGUAGCGUUAGAAGAAGCUCCGGCUAAAUUCGUGCCAGCCGCCGCAGUAA